Long non-coding RNA from Gadus chalcogrammus (walleye pollock), 4861 nucleotides. RefSeq lists it as uncharacterized. The transcript is spliced from 8 exons. The record is from RefSeq and is a predicted model, not a curated record. Lineage: Eukaryota; Metazoa; Chordata; Actinopteri; Gadiformes; Gadidae.
ACCGGACAGUACAUUGGUUUGUGUACUGCUUUGUUGGUUAAAGACUUUUUGAAGUAAAGAGGAGCAUCUCAUCUGAACCUGAUGUAUAUCAUGGAUAUUUAACUGCAGUUCUGUGAGUAUCCCAACUUAACCAUGAAGCAUAACUGCAAACUGUAAGUCAUUAAUUUCUCAUUACUCUUGGGCACAUUGAUGUAUUUUGGCUUCCUGGUGAGUUAACCUGUUUAAUGAAGGUUGAUCUGAGUUGUAAGGAUGUUUUAUUGGUUCAUGGGUUACUUAGGUGUUUGGUUUAUGUUGGUUUUAAUGAUUUGUUAAAAUGGUUAGACUCCAAGUUAUUGUUGUAAGCUGGAGUAAUGGGUUGGGUUCUGAUAUCUUCAGUCUUUUCAUUCUACUCUCCUGAGCUCUGCAUCUUCAUCACAUGAGUGUUGCUUUACUAAUGAGGUUGUGGUCUGAGUGAGCAGAGGUGCAUACUGGGAUACAGAGCUGUCUGAAGUCUACAGGUCUGUAGACACGCCCCCUCAGGGGAAACCGAGUGUUUGAGAAACUUUGGUGACGUCAGUUACAUGGACUGGAAUGUUCUUAAAGAUGGAGACAGGGAUUCAGAAAGAGAAACAGCAGGGGGAGAUGAGGGGGCUCCUCAUCUCAACGACUAAAACACAACUUCACUCUGACAUAGAGAACCAUGGAACACAUUCAACAGUCCUCUCCAGGCAUCGUGACUCCUCAGGAACAGUUUCAUUUCCAAGAAGGUCUUAUUUGGGGCCAUCCCCAUAUGGAUCCUGCUCCUCAAGAGCCACCCCCCUCCACUGGGUGGUCGUCUGAACAGAUGACCUCCUUCCUGUCCUCAGGCUGACUAAAGCUACAACGUUUGCAUCUGUGAAGGCCCCUCUUUCAGGAAAUCACUGGACUACAAAGACAUGACUUCAGAGAUGUUGAAUCAACCUGGACACAUUUUGGAGACGCCAAGCAUAAUCCAUCACCAAUGUGGGACGCCACUGAAGAAUGUUGUACAUAAUUUACGUCUCUUCGAGACAUUGGUUGUUCUGUUAUGGGUGCCCUGGCAGGAGCGCUGGGGGGGGGGGCGGUGAUGGAAUGCUAUUUGGCAUGAGGGUUUUUACCCUGCAUGAUUGUUUGGACUUUUAUGACUCAGUGGUGUGUGUGUGAGUGUGUUUGGGUUUGACAUGAGAUGGAAGAUUUUUGAGCAUUGCUAGGGUUCUACUGUGUGUGUGUGUGUCUCCCACUCACACCUGGCAUGGGGUUCUACGUGCCUGUCCUGGGUUCUAUGUGUGUGUGUGUGUCCGGCUUGCUUUGACAGUGAUAAUGUUCAUACGGGGGUCUGUGUGAUUGGCUUGGGAUAUUGGAAUGGUCAACUAAAUUAUACCUGAUGGACGGCCACACGUUUACUUAAGGGCCUCCAGUAGACAUGAAGAGCCCUGAGCGACGCUCCGGAGCGAUAUCCAACACACUGGACAGGAAGGAGAGUAUCCAACUCAAGUGUAAAAGGAUGCAAGCGGCGUGUUCAGAUCAGUGACUUCAAACUAGGACUACACCAAUCAGGAUCAAUGGAGGAUGGACACCAAAAGGAAUUCCACAAGGAGAGUCUGACGUUGGAAAGGGACCUAAAUGGAUAUUCAAGAUGACCUUCAGACCUGUAAUGAGACGGCUCUUCCUACUUGGCUGGAUUGAUGGAGAGCCCUGUGGAUCUUGUCUUGCUCUCAGUUGCACGUCUUCUCAGGCUGAACUGUAUUUGUUUCGGACAGGACUAGUUGAACGAUCGGUUCCCUUAAAUCAGAACCAAUCCGGGAACUCCAGCUAGUGCGCUCUUCGAGCUGAAGUUGUGCUCUUCAGCUGAGGAGGUAAUGAAACCUUCACUGGGGCUUCAAGUUGUAAAGAGGAGAAUGUUUCAAAGUGUUCCAUGGUACUCUGAAGACCGUUGUUGUGUUCCACUGGCUGAGAGGAAGAACCCACACAUCUUCCUCUUGGCCUUUCUCCUCUUAGAAUCCUGGCGCCAUCUUGAAGGAUAUUCCAGCUCAUGUAACUGAUGUCACGACAGAUUCUCAAACACUUGGUUUCUCCUGAGGGGUGUGUCUAUGGAACUGAAGACUUCAGACAGCACUGUAUCCCAGCAUGCAUCUCUGCUCACUCAGACCACACCCCCAUGAGUAGGAUGCAACACUCUAGUGAUGGUGAUGUAGAGUUUUAUAGGUAACGAGGGAGCAGACUAAGGUGAUUGGAACACAAUGGAAUGUCAAGUUUGUAAAUCUUUAAACAAUGAAGAUGGUUGCAUAGUGCAGGAAUAUGGCUUAUUUUUAUUAUGGACAGUCCUUUCACUCGGAUGCCCACUUCUCACUGGAGCUGUACAUGUGUUGGCUGGCUGGCAUGAUUUGCUGUUGGUGAUGAGGCAGUCAGGGUGACGUUGCAGGGCUAUGGUCGGCUCUCUGUGAGCUCAACGUUUAGAUUUGCUCUGUAUGGUUUGUACCCUGAAUAAUCUAGAUAAUUGUAAAAUGUAGACACGGUUUUGUAUUGAAUGACUCUAGGAUUUUAGUUUUAAAGUUGUCGUGGGACGUACAUGGUAGUUUGUUUUCUUCGUAUGGUUUUGAGUGAUAACUUGUACACACUGGGUGCAUAAUAAUGUGGAGGUACACUGAAUAGUACUAAUGACCAACAGCAACAAACAGAUCUCCUCAAGGUAAGUCUGUUGGCUGUGUUUUAAUGAAGACCAUCGCUGGACUUCAGGAUCUUCCUUCGUUCAGCUCAAGGUGAGGUGCUGGUUCUGUUAUUUUCUUUGGUUGGUUCCGGCCGGAAUGUUCGGAUUCCAGUCGGACGGUUUGUGCUUCCCGCCGUGGAAGGUUCUGAGUGCGGUCACUUGAUUUAGUCCCAAUGGUUAGCAUAGAACGUUGUAGUCUUGACAUUGACAACCAUAAGAAACCAUCUGGCAGUUAGUUGGACGGGAGUCCCCUGAGGGAAUCUGGCGGAACGUUCUGGAUUGUAUUUGCGUAACCUCGAGCCGUUGCCAACGGAAACUAUUUUUCAGUCGGUUUCCAUCGGGAAUUGUUGCCCCUAUCUUAAACAACUUAAGUUUGAUAUUAAAUACAUACUGACACGUACGUCGUACAAUAUGUUGAUUUCCGAUGGUUGCGCCGUAUUUUUAACCACGAUGAUGUGAUGGGACUCUCACUGCGUACAAAACAGCGUUCUACUUGCGGGCCCAUUUUUGACAUCAGGGAAGGCUGAAAAUCAUUUCAAGGAGGAAGAUAAUUUGACAUUUCUUCAUGGAACCCAGCACCUGAAUAUGGCUGAGUAUAUUUGAUUUAAUAUCGAUACUGCUUAGUGUUCUUUGUUACUUCAGCUUUUGUACGUUCUAAAUAUCUGCUGUCAUUAAUUGCUACAGAAGUUAAACCCUACCCAAUGGAAUGACGUUAAACAACGACUUUGGUGCAGAGUUACCAACUAGAUAAUAUCAAAGCUAAAAUAAUGGCCGUCAUUCCCACAUGUUACAGUAGAAGAUACUCUAGAACUGUACAAGGUUAAAAAGGUAACAUGUAGUUUGUUCCAAGGUGUCUGCCUCCUCACCUAGAGUAAGACCUCCACCUCCUCACCCGGAGCCGGACCUCCACCUUCUGUCAGAAGUCCUCCAGAACAGAUGAGAGGCUGGGGACCGGAGGCUUGUGGAGCCAGGGUGGACCGGAGACUGAGGCUGGAGACCAGGGGUCUGCAGCACCGGACCAGGGGGUAACCAUCACCAAGCUCAUCUGAAACACUAAAAUCCACGACCAGGACUGUCUGAGGAGAGCUGCUGGAGGAGCUGAGACGCUGGAGGACGACUAGGAAUCGACCAACAAGGAUUCCUCAACGUGUUUCUGGAGCGGAGGCGAUCUGGUAGGGGAGCCGGGAAUCUGGAGGAUGACCAUCACUCUACCAACAAGGAUUACUUUAGGGCCAGACUCGCGCUGUUUGUUCCAGACCAGGACUCUGGCUGAGGAGAGCUGAUUGAGGAGCCAAGACUCGAGCCAAGAGGACAACAUCACUCCACCAACCAGGAUCCUCAGACGAAUUACGUUUGUAACCAGACCAGGAAUCUGGAGGACUGAUGGAGAAGCCGUACAUCUGGAAGGCAAAUCCUGAGGACCACCAGGACUCUACCAUCAAGGAUUCCUCAUAAGUUUGCAUUAUCUGGACAUAGUGGACUAGACACACCUGAGCUGAACCUCACCUGAUCCUGUUUGGUCGGGGGUAGACGCACCUGAGCUAAACCCGCCCUGAUCCUGACAUCCUGCUGGUCCCGUCUCCUCAGUUCAUAUGAGCCUCGUCCUCCAGAAGACCUGCUGAGCUCAGCAGUCUGAGGCUGAUGGAUCAAUGACCUCCAGUGGGAGUGAUCUUCUUGACCCCACAUGUAACCGUGUGCUUCCACACGCCUUUCCCUCACGUCUGUCACUAACCUCACUACUUCACUACUCUCUACUGCUUCCUCUUUUCUUCCUUCUCUGUGGUUCAAACCUUUACACUGAAGGCGCGUCUUCCUGCCCUCAGAGGGUUUAGCGUUAGGGUUGAGAGUCAGGGUUUAGAGUCAGGGACAGAGCUGGUCAGGGAGGACUGCUUUUACACAAACCUCUUCACUUGCUUUUGGAAUGGUGGUGACAUUUUGAAAAGAUUUGGGAAAAUGUUUCCCUCUGCUUUCCUUUACAAAAUUGUAUUCAACUUCUGUCAAGUGUUUUUGUUUAUAUAUUAAAAUCCCACAUUGACUUCUACAUGUUUGGUGCGGUUCAUUUAAUUGUCCUUUAACUUGGUUAAUGUCAAGCUAAACUCCUGCAAUACAUUUAAUAUACAUGAUUGUUAUUCAGCAAUGUUCACAUAAUCCAUUUUG